This 497-nucleotide ribosomal RNA is filed under the name uncultured bacterium. RNAcentral describes it as "partial 16S ribosomal RNA". It matches the Rfam family "Bacterial small subunit ribosomal RNA", at positions 28 to 507 of the family's 1533-position model. The record is from RNAcentral.
GAUGAACGCUGGCGGCGUGCCUAAUACAUGCAAGUCGAGCGAACGGACGAGAAGCUUGCUUUUCUGAUGUUAGCGGCGGACGGGUGAGUAACACGUGGAUAACCUACCUAUAAGACUGGGAUAACUUCGGGAAACCGGAGCUAAUACCGGAUAAUAUUUUGAACCGCAUGGUUCAAAAGUGAAAGACGGUCUUGCUGUCACUUAUGGAUGGAUCCGCGCUGCAUUAGCUAGUUGGUAAGGUAACGGCUUACCAAGGCAACGAUGCAUAGCCGACCUGAGAGGGUGAUCGGCCACACUGGAACUUAGACGCGGUCCAGACUCCUACGGGAGGCAGCAGUAGGGAAUCUUCCGCAAUGGGCGAAAGCCUGACGGAGCAACGCCGCGUGAGUGAUGAAGGUCUUCGGAUCGUAAAACUCUGUUAUUAGGGAAGAACAUAUGUGUAAGUAACUGUGCACAUCUUGACGGUACCUAAUCAGAAAGCCACGGCUAACUACGUG